Molecule: non-coding RNA, 30 nt
Filed under: Rattus norvegicus (Norway rat)
Lineage: Eukaryota; Metazoa; Chordata; Mammalia; Rodentia; Muridae
Source: RNAcentral
UAGUGUGAAUUCAUUACAUUUACCCGAAGA